UCAAACUUGGUCAUUUAGAGGAAGUAAAAGUCGUAACAAGGUUUCCGUAGGUGAACCUGCGGAAGGAUCAUUAACGCAUCUUCUGGCGGAGGCGGAUGGACCCAGCUCCGAACCCCCAAAAGGGUUCGUGUCAGCGGGCUCGCCGUCGCCGUCCAAACCUUUGCAAACCCAACUGUGCACCUUUGCGGUGGAGGGCUGGCAACGGCCCGACGCCGCUUCACUAAACACUAGUCAACGAAUGUUCAUGCGACGCUCUGCGUUGCCUAAUAAACUUGACAACUUUCAACAACGGAUCUCUUGGCUCUCGCAUCGAUGAAGAACGCAGC
RNAcentral lists this unclassified non-coding RNA (326 nucleotides) under uncultured fungus. RNAcentral's name for it is "partial contains small subunit ribosomal RNA, internal transcribed spacer 1, and 5.8S ribosomal RNA". The stretch from base 1 to 73 matches the Rfam family "Eukaryotic small subunit ribosomal RNA", at positions 1759 to 1831 of the family's 1831-position model. The record is from RNAcentral. Lineage: Eukaryota; Fungi.